This 177-nucleotide microRNA precursor is filed under the name Paramuricea clavata. Lineage: Eukaryota; Metazoa; Cnidaria; Anthozoa; Malacalcyonacea; Plexauridae. The record is from RNAcentral.
ACCACUCCCACAAACGUCUACGAUCGCGCCUACAUAGUUUUGCACACAAUUCUAAUUUUGAACAGCCAAUCCGGUUCUUGAUGACAAUUACAAUUAAACGUCGAUUGACUGUUUAAAAUUAGAAUUGUAAACAUGCAAAAAUAUGUAGAUGCGGUCGUAGACGUUUGUGAGAGUGGC